GAGGCAGGAAAUGAGUUCCUAAGCACUAAGUCUUUGCAACCUGAUCUUUAGUAAUAAUUUAUUACUACAUUAUACUAGUUUAAUUAGUAAUAACUAAUUAUUAAUACUAAUUAAAUUACUGGUUUAUUCAGCAAUAAAUAAAUAAACACUUAUUGAGCACAAUAUGCCAGACACUCUUCUAAACUCUUUAUGUUAACUUUUUUAAUCUUCACAAACACAUUUUGAAGUAGGUACUGUUCAUAACCCCAUUUUACAAAGAAAAAACUGAAUUUUAGGGAGUUUAAUUGCUGAACCAAGGCCACAGAAUUGGUGAGUUGCAGGUAAAAUUUGAACCCAUUUCUGCAGAUGUCAAGUUGUGUUUUUUUGUCUUUCCAUCAUGCUACUGACACCCAAACCAAAUGAAACUGGCAGCCCGGAUUCUUUCAGAGAGAUGUUGUAAAAGAGUUCCCCCAGCAACCUCACCUGUUAAACCCCCAAAUUAAGUCUGAAGAGCAAAGCAGGAGUCUGACUGCUCUUCAAAGGGAGAGAUGUCAGGAAGCAUGAUGUAGUGAAGCCUCUCUCUGCUAGGUGCUAGAAGUGUACUCCUAGACCUGUCAGCGGCCCUCUUUGGUAUUCAGGAUCUUCAUCUGUAAAAGGAGAAGAUAAAAGUAAUUUGGCUUCGACAAGAUUCCUUCCAACCCUGACAUUCCAUAAUCCUAUGAAACAGCUACCAUUUAUUAUUUCCUCUGUGCCAGAUACUGUGCUGAGUAUUUCACAUAAUCGCAAAAUCAUCACAGCCAACAAAUAGCUGUGAUGGAGCUGCAAAUGAUGGAGCACUGCUUAUUUGCCAGGCUCUGCUGUAAGUACUUGCCCCUGUAUUAUCUCAUUUAAUCCUCAGAACAACACUAAGAGGAAGGUAUUAUUAUCCCCACCACCCUCAAGGAUCUAAGGCUCAGAAGAAUGAUACAAAGCUACUCAAAGUCUCCCAAUCAUUAAGUGCUGCUCUUGGGGUUUGAACCCAGAUUUUUCUGACUCCAUAACCCAUGCUUUUAAUCACUGUACUACUUCAAGUGCCCCCUCAACGUCAGGCAAGGGCAGACACCAGGAAUAGGCUGUGUUGGUUUUUGGUUGCCCCACUGACUAUCCAUCUGCAGUUGUUUUUCUUCCAUUCUGAUCAUCAAUCAUAGUGUGACUUAAAUGGGUCAGGAUAAGGAGUCCCCAGCUGCCAUGCACAGCCACAGCAGCCACUGCCCACAGUCCUUUCUGUGGGCUUUCUGGGCAGCAUUAGUGGAAAGUCCUAUCUGUGAAGUAAACUAACAAGAUUGGGGGAGGGGUCCCCUUAUUUAUUUAAUCAUCACUCCCCAAGGCUAAACUGGUGGCCUGGCAACAGUGAGUAUUUUCUCUGAGCUCAGAAGCCAACUCCAAGUGUUCAGGGUGAACAGGUUGGGAAACUUGAGAACCACACAGACAUCAGGAAAAAUUCCGUGAGUGGUUGUCUGUGGUGAAAUGAUGAUAUGGCCCUGAGUUUGCUCUCCCCAGGAGAACUUGGAAGCUGCCCCCUUUUCCACCUCCCACCUCACUUGGAACUAAGUAAACCAAGAAAUUCUAGGAAGCAGCCCAGUCAGAGGAAAAGCAUCCAAGUAUCAGGAGAGAUGCAUAGUUCUAAGAGGAGCUCAAGAAAUUGUUACAGGAGGAGCCAAGAUGGCCGAAUAGGAACAGCUCCGGUCUACAGCUCCCAGCGUGAGCGACGCAGAAGACGGGUGAUUUCUGCAUUUCCAUCUGAGGUACCGGGUUCAUCUCACUAAGGAGUGCCAGACAGUGGGUGCAGGUCAGCGGGUGCGCGCACCGUGCGCGAGCCGAAGCAGGGCGAGGCAUUGCCUCACUUGGGAAGCGCAAGGGGUCAGGGAGUUCCCUUUCUGAGUCAAAGAAAGGGGUGACGGGCGGCACCUGGAAAAUCGGGUCACUCCCACCCGAACACUGCGCUUUUCUGAAGGGCUUAAAAAGCGUCGCACCACGAGAUUAUAUCCCGCACCUGGCUCGGAGGGUCCUACGCCCACGGAGUCUCGCUGAUUGCUAGCACAGCAGUCU
RNAcentral lists this long non-coding RNA (2067 nucleotides) under Homo sapiens (human). RNAcentral's name for it is "HSALNT0173261". Lineage: Eukaryota; Metazoa; Chordata; Mammalia; Primates; Hominidae. The record is from RNAcentral.